GUGAUGAGAGAUGAGCCAAUCCUGCAGCAGAGCCCGCCCUCCCCACCCUGCUGAUUUGCAUGUGCCCAUAGCUCAGCCUACUGCCCAGAACAGUGGACUGCUCUUAAAGGUUGUUUACACCUUGUGUGGAAGUCAGUCCCAGUCAGCACACAGCAUGGACAUGAGGGUCCCUGCUCAGAUCCUGGGGCUCCUGCUGCUCUGGCUCCCAGGUGCCAAAUGUGACAUCCAGAUGACCCAGACUCCAUCCUCCCUGUCUGCAUCUCCAGGAAACACAGUCACCAUCAAUUGCAGGGCCAGUCAGGGCAUUAACAAGUAUUUAGCCUGGUUUCAGCAGAAACCAGGGAAAGCUCCUAAGGGGCUGAUAUAUAGAGCAUCUAAUUUAGAAUCAGGUGUCCCAUCCAGGUUCAGUGGCAGUGGAUCUGGGACAGAUUAUUCUCUUACCAUCAGCAGCCUGCAGCCUGAAGAUGUUAGCACUUAUUACUGUCUGCAGUAUAAUAGUUAUCCUUCCACAGUGAUACAAGUCAUAACAGAAACCUCCCAAGGAAGCAGAAGUGAGAGGCUAGGCUACUCCAGCUGCUCCUGCAGCCUCUACCUGCUGACAGUGCUUCUCAGAUUCAUCUCUUAG
Molecule: non-coding RNA, 625 nt
Organism: Dipodomys spectabilis (banner-tailed kangaroo rat)
Lineage: Eukaryota; Metazoa; Chordata; Mammalia; Rodentia; Heteromyidae
Source: the annotation of a RefSeq genome assembly